RNAcentral lists this long non-coding RNA (2364 nucleotides) under Diabrotica virgifera virgifera (western corn rootworm). RNAcentral describes it as "uncharacterized LOC126878734". The record is from RNAcentral. Lineage: Eukaryota; Metazoa; Arthropoda; Insecta; Coleoptera; Chrysomelidae.
ACAUGAGUAGGAAUGGUAGCAUAUUUUACAUAGUAUGUAGCUGACAAGAUAACGUACAUUAACAGUUUCUCUGUAACAGUACAUAUUUUUGAGUUUGUUUUAUUUUUAAUUAUCCAUUUUUUAAAUUCAUCAUUUCCUUCCACACUUUCAGUAUCAAAUUUAUAAUUUGUGGCUACAAUUAAUGGCAGUCAAUCAAUCAGUCCUUUUUCCUGAAAGCCACAAAAAUGUUGACAAAAUUAAAUCAAAACAUAUUUACAUUACAACAAACCUUUUGUUAUCUGAAUUAGUCUUUCCACUUGUUUAUCUCGAGUGUAGUGUAUCAAAUUAUGCAUGCUUUUAUCUAGUUGUUUCACCUUUUUCCUUCUAGAUAUGCAUACUUAAUAAUACUGUGCAUACUCUCCAAGUACAUAUUUGUAUUUAUUAGUAAUUCCUUUCUAUAACAGUAGAACCCGGACUUAGUAUUCGAACUAUAAUUUUUACUCAGGUACUCAUAAAAUUUAACAGUACCAGAAUCAUUCUCCAGUUGGAAAAUUCAACAAAUCUUUUUAAAAGUUGUUAACUUCUAAAGUACUUUGUAUAAAUUUCAAGCACUUAUAUACAUACUUCCAUUCUUUUAUCAACUACAGAAAUUUUUGCUAGAUUAGUUUUCCAGGCACAAUCAAUGUGCCAGGAACAAAAUAAUCGAUUCCCAUACAGCACAGGUCAUCUUUAAGAUAUCUUAUUUACAACCAAAUAUGGUCUUAAUGUCUUAGGUCUCAAUUAAGACUUUUAAAAGAUAUCUUUAAAACGCCAAAUUUAAGAUAUCUUUAAAACGCCAAAUUUAAGAUAUCUUUUAGACAUCAUAUUUAAGACAUUUUUUCUUAAAAAUAGGUUAUGUUAUAAUUACGAAUUUAAAAGUUAGGUUAGGUUAGUAAAACAUUUAAGACAAGAGCUGGUAGCAAAAAGACAAACUCCAAACAAAAGCUUUUUCACAUCAGUGACUUCAGUGGUAUUUCCCAUAUGGUUGUAUUUGAGGGAUAUUUAGAAGACUACAGAUUUUAAUAAUGCAGUAAGUUUAGAUUUAGAUUGUUAUAUUAUUAAAGUAAAAAGUUAACUUUGUUAUCAAGAGUAAAUGCAUGUCUCCUAAUUCAACAGCUUACCUUAACAAUAUGCUCUUAAAAAUAUAUUUUUUAGGUAGGUAUCGGAGCUUGUUAAAGUAGGAGGAUCAAAAGCCUAUAAUUUUGUAUAGAGUUGGAAAAUUAAUUAUUAGCAAUGAGCAAGCUUUAAGUACAGUUGGCUGGGACAGAAAGGCAAACAAAAGUUUUAUGAUACUAGAAUUGCAAAUCUGACAAUUGGUAAAGCUUAUUCUACAUGUACAUGUAAAAUUUUAAUAGCAAUAAACGUAUUUUUAGAACAUAAUUAUUUUUAUUAAGAGUUCAUUUAAAAUAUUUCAUAAAAAAUUAAAAAGAAAGAUAUCCUAAACACCUUAAUAAUAUACAAAAAAAGACAUCUUUAAGAUGUAAGGAUUUGUAACAUCCGUACAUCUUUAAGACGUCGUAAAGAUAUCUUUCCGGAAAUACCAGACAUCUUUAAGACGUCUAAAACGUCUUUAGUGAGUUAUCUUUUAGAUUUCUUUAAGAUGUCUUUGUGCUAUCUGGGUUAGACACAGGCCCUAUCACUGCUGUCCAUCCGUUAUAAAAAGUUUCCAUUAUAUCUCUCAUAAACAUAUCUGUAGUGAUAUUAUUAGGUACCUAGUGCGGUUUUAAUACAGUCAAAAAAUAUUUUAGAAAUUGUAGUAUUCAUUCUAUUCGAAAUCAUGUAUGUCACAGCAACGCCUUCACCGAAGUCAUCGCUAACCAUCAAAGUGGUUAACUCAAAAUUAUAUGGAUUAGUUCCAUAGGUACCAUCAAUACAAACAAUUUUUUUUGCAAAUGUCAUGACAGCAUAACAUUGUACAUAUAUCAUUCAUAAUGAUAAUGCAGAAAUCUGAGCAAUCUAAAUUAUGCUGACUAUCCUCAGAGCCUUGAGGUCUGUAGUAUAAUACACUGGCUACACACUACGUUUUGCCUGAGACCAUGUCUGCAGAGACUCAUUUGCGCAGGAUUUCUCUGACACAGUUUCCAGUACAGAACUGCCACAGGAAUCUCCAGUGGAGUUGCAACCGCUCUCACGGACGUCCACAAAUCAAGUUACAAAACUGUUACAUGACUCUCUAUUGGAGUUGCAACCGCAAUUGGAUAAAAGUGAAAUUCGAAUAAUGCCAGAAAUACUAUAACCGUCCAAAGUGAUAGUGUGAAAUUAGAAUCAAAUGAUUAUGUAUAAAUCAUAUUGAUAAUAAUUAUAAAUAGUAGCUGUAUUUUUUAAAUAAACAGAUUUGAUAAGUUA